Molecule: ribosomal RNA, 253 nt
Filed under: uncultured bacterium
Lineage: Bacteria
Description: partial 16S ribosomal RNA
Rfam family: Bacterial small subunit ribosomal RNA
Source: RNAcentral
UACAGAGGGUGCAAGCGUUAUUCGGACUUACUGGGCGUAAAGCGCACGUAGGUGGUUACGUAAGUUAGUUGUGAAAUCCCUGGGCUUAACCUGGGAACUGCAAUUAAGACUGCGAGACUAGAGUCGAAGAGAGGGAAGCGGAAUUUCCGGUGUAGCGGUGAAAUGCGUAGAUAUCGGAAGGAACACCAGUGGCGAAGGCGGCUUCCUGGCUUCAGACUGACACUGAGGAGCGAAAGCGUGGGUAGCGAACAGG